GGAGAGGUGUCCGAGUGGUUUAAGGAACCGGUCUUGAAAACCGGCGAUACCCGUGAGGGUACCAAGGGUUCGAAUCCCUUCCUCUCCGCCA
RNAcentral lists this transfer RNA (91 nucleotides) under Bacillota bacterium. Its description in RNAcentral is "tRNA-Ser". It matches the Rfam family "tRNA". Rfam says of the family: Transfer RNA (tRNA) molecules are approximately 80 nucleotides in length. RNAcentral also lists the same sequence under 1 other name. The record is from RNAcentral. Lineage: Bacteria; Bacillati; Bacillota.